UGCCAGCAGCCGCGGUAAUACGUAGGGUGCGAGCGUUAAUCGGAAUUACUGGGCGUAAAGGGUGCGCAGGCGGCUCCGCAAGUCAGACGUGAAAUCCCCGGGCUUAACCUGGGAAUGGCGCUUGAAACUACGGGGCUGGAGUAUGGCAGAGGGAGGUGGAAUUCCACGUGUAGCGGUGAAAUGCGUAGAGAUGUGGAGGAACACCGAUGGCGAAGGCAGCCUCCUGGGCCAAUACUGACGCUCAUGCACGAAAGCGUGGGGAGCAAACAGGAUUAGAUACCCUGGUAGUCCACGCCCUAAACGAUGAUGACUAGUUGUUGGAGGAGUUAAAUCCUUUAGUAACGCAGCUAACGCGAGAAGUCAUCCGCCUGGGGAGUACGGUCGCAAGAUUAAAACUCAAAGAAUGACGG
Molecule: ribosomal RNA, 410 nt
Filed under: uncultured bacterium
Lineage: Bacteria
Description: bacterial SSU rRNA
Rfam family: Bacterial small subunit ribosomal RNA
Source: RNAcentral